RNAcentral lists this non-coding RNA (28 nucleotides) under Mus musculus (house mouse). Lineage: Eukaryota; Metazoa; Chordata; Mammalia; Rodentia; Muridae. The record is from RNAcentral.
UCCAAACACGGAGCACGGAUGUCCAGGG